RNAcentral lists this ribosomal RNA (17 nucleotides) under Teratosphaeria epicoccoides. Its description in RNAcentral is "partial 28S ribosomal RNA". The record is from RNAcentral. Lineage: Eukaryota; Fungi; Ascomycota; Dothideomycetes; Mycosphaerellales; Teratosphaeriaceae. RNAcentral also lists the same sequence under 1 other name.
GUGGACCUCGGAUCAGG